Molecule: transfer RNA, 77 nt
Filed under: Minimugil cascasia (yellowtail mullet)
Lineage: Eukaryota; Metazoa; Chordata; Actinopteri; Mugiliformes; Mugilidae
Description: tRNA-Thr
Rfam family: tRNA
About the family: Transfer RNA (tRNA) molecules are approximately 80 nucleotides in length. Their secondary structure includes four short double-helical elements and three loops (D, anti-codon, and T loops).
Source: RNAcentral
GAUGUAUUAGUAGCUCAAUUACACAGAGCACCGGCUUUGUAAUCCGGAGGCUGAAGGUUAAAAUCCUUCCUAAUACU